This 2044-nucleotide long non-coding RNA is filed under the name Mus musculus (house mouse). RNAcentral describes it as "cDNA sequence BC051077". Lineage: Eukaryota; Metazoa; Chordata; Mammalia; Rodentia; Muridae. The record is from RNAcentral.
GAGGACCAGCCUGGGUGGAAACCUGCUACUGCUGCUGCUGCUUCUGCCGCCCCUGCCUGGGUUGUGGAGAAACAAAUAAGGCAGAUAAACAGGCAAACAUCCAAGAAGAGGGACUGUGGGGUGAGGCGGAAAAGAGAGUUGUCAGACGAGGUUGUUCAUAACCGGAGCCCAGCCUCUCUGGAGCACAGGCUAAGAUGGUGAAGUUCUGUGGCUCCAAGACCCAUGAGAUUUGGAAAGAAGACCCAUAUGGAUUUGGAAAGAAGACCCACGCUCCCACAAAGUGAAAUUGCCCCUCUCAGAGGAAACAGAAAGAUGGCCACCUGCUUCCCAAGGAAACAGACACAACCCCCCCAACCCCCCAGAGGCUGAUGGGAGGUGAAUGAGCCAGGUACCCUAACAGACUCUCUGAUCUCCAAGCUGAGAGUCCGUUCACAGUUUGAUCGCUGCCACCCACGCGUCAGAAUUCUGCAGGACAAGGUAUUCAACCAUCCAUCAGGGUCUGACUCAGAGGUGCCCUGACAGGACUCCUGGAUGCGUCAGGAGCUUGUCCUCUGGAUCACAAAGCCUUAGAGGUUUGGGGAACCUCCUACGUUUAAUUGUGCGGACUCUGCUGAAUCUUAUGAGCAUGGGAUAGCCCCGGUCCCCCCUCCCACCCUCAACACUUGGGUUCAUUUCCUUCUUUCCCUAAAUCCUGGGGAAUGCCUCAGGCUGCAGGGUAAGACAUUCCACUAGACCUGCCUGUUGUUUCAAAUUUAAACCAAAUUGUUUAAACGGGCUCUAAAGCUCUGUCUUAGCAAGCUCCGACCCACCAAACGCAUCCAAUUAUCCACUCCAAUCUGUCCGCAUUACUCCCUCGAUGUUGGCCACUGUUUGCCCCAAUUGGGAAUGUUUGACUUUCUCGCAGACCUAGACAACUUUCAUAAAUGAACGAGCAAAUGGCUGGAGGCCCCGCCCACACGUAAACUUUGCCCCGCCCAAGCUCAUUUUAACUCGUUUCCUCCCCGCCAGCCACUCAGCUUCCACUUACAACCGGGUCCUAAUGCCCACUGUUUCUCCUGGGUCUCCUAGACGGUGCCCCCCCCCCCCCCAGGGUGGUAUUUUUGUUUGGGGGGCAUUUUUACCUUAAGCCUUUAGUCUGGCUUUUGUUUCCGCCCCACCAAGCCUGCAUUUUCUUGCUUUUAUUUCUAUUUAUCAGCUACUUAUUAGGCUUUUCAGGUUGUCUUCAUCCAUCUACAGAACACACAAACUGCUUAUGGAGAUGUAGAUCACUGAGUUCAGUCCGUGUCUUUGGGUGUUGAUAAUACUGGAAAGUUGUCACUAGCUAUUUAACUUCGCCGCAAAGCAUGCUCUGGAAAUGGGAUUUGGCCUGCCUACUUCAGACCCAAGCAUGUUAUUUCAAAGUUUCCCCAAGGCCACCUUCCUAGAUCAAGGUGGCUCCCUGACUCUGUGACAGAGAAAGAAAACAACAAAACACCCCAGGAAAAAAGACAUCAUGGUCUCUUGAGAACCGGUAAGAGGUGAGCUAUUCCCAAUAGAAGCUUCUCUUGUUUACUUCAUAAGAUGUACGUAUUAAAGCCAGCUGAUAGGAUGCUCAGAUAGGAAAAGGAUAAAAGAGACCCUUUGUAUAAAAUCUCUUAAUGCACAACAACACAGUUUUAACGGAACCCUCUCCAAAAUUUUAGAUGAUGUUCAUAUAAAUUUAGUAAUGAUUAUAAAAAAAAAAAAACUCGGGCUGGUGAGAUGGCUCAGUGGGUAAGAGCACCCGACUGCUCUUCCGAAGGUCUGGAGUUCAAAUCCCAGCAACCACAUGGUGGCUCACAACCAUCCGUAACGAGAUCUGGCGCCCUCUUCUGGAGUGUCUGAAGACAGCUACAGUGUACUUACAUAUAAUAAAUAAAUAAAUCUUUAAAAAAAAAAAAAAAAACUCUACCUGCUACAUAACUUAUAAAGGCUGUUUUAUGUUUUGUGUAAGGUCUGCCUGGAAACUUACAAGGCCUAAUGGUUUUACAGUAUGUAAAUUAAAAUUAAAAGAGAUAAUUAUUAA